CUUCAGCUCAGCAGACCGUGGUGGGUGUGGUCAGGACAGGAGGGCGGUGUGGUCAGAAGACGUUCGCACACUCUGCAUCUGUGACUUCGCCAGUAACAUUGUGUGGGAGGCUGUUCUGUCCAGGGCGUGUGUCCUGGUAACUGGGAGGGUGAUAUCUGGUGAAAUGUCUGGCUUGGCUGUGAGUUGUCUGGUGCAUGGUGGGAGAUGGUGUGGUGACAUGGCUGGUGUGACUUUGUUGAAGGGCUGUAGAUCUGGGAAGACCCAGGAGGGCAUGGGCUCUUCAGUUUAUUUAUGGUUUCAAUCUUCGGAUGAACAAAUUGAAACCAUAAAUAAAAAUAUAUUUUUCAUCUUUUGAACAACAAACACGUUUAAAGAACAACCCACGGUCAUGGAAGCGUGCUUGGGGUUAUUUGCCGGGUACCAGGCAGCGGUCAUGAUACCGUGGACUGAAACAGCGUGACCGCAAGACGGCCUCACAACAUCGAAGAUCCACCGGGAUCCAGGCUCCAAAUGCAACAACGCUGAAAUGAAAAGUCAACUGUAAAAACAUGUCAUUACUCUUGACAGAUGUGGCAUCCUCCAUCGAGGCCAACUUGAAGGGCCGCCCGCCGAGAAGAAAAGAAAACCUUGGAAUCUAAUUUUAUGACAAAACGUCAAGUUGACCCGAGGGGCGUGACCCCGCCCCAAGUCGUAUUUUCAGCAGCUUGUAAUGGCGCCACCUUCUGGACAGUCAUUGUCAACGUUUAACAAUGGAUGAGACAGGGUCAGCGCGGUGGCGUUAGCGCAAGCGAGCGCGUGUCCAGACAGAGACGGGUCGGAAGCAGGCGUGUUUUGACCUUUGGCAGAAGCCCUGACUGCCAAGGUCUAGAGAGGAAGCCUCUCCCGCAGCUUCCUGUGUUACUUCCUGUGAUACCCCUGGUAUCCUGAGCUUCCCUGUCUUUAACUAGCACUUAGUGUAGAUUGUUUUUGCCUUGUCCCCCCAGGGAAGCAUGUGGUUUUCAUUUAACUACAAGAGGGUUAAAAGUAAACACUGAAAACUGAUUAUCACAAAUAGGCUUGAACGUCCUUUGUUAGAGUGGAAUUUUGUGAAACCACAUUUCCCAUGAGGUUGGGUUUUAACUGAUCACCAUGUUAGUCAUAUUGACCAUGCAACUGGGAGUUUGACAAUAUCAUCAAUGUGAAUGUUCUCAUUGCUUUCAUAUUAACUAAUCACUAACUAUCAAAGAGAUGCCUGAUGAGUAUUAUGUCAUUACCUUUCAGUAUAUAGUAAGCAUGACCGACAACACGUUUCAACCAUGACAAAUGUACCAAUUUGUUGUUUUCUUAAAG
Molecule: long non-coding RNA, 1329 nt
Organism: Esox lucius (northern pike)
Lineage: Eukaryota; Metazoa; Chordata; Actinopteri; Esociformes; Esocidae
Source: Ensembl